RNAcentral lists this ribosomal RNA (590 nucleotides) under uncultured fungus. Its description in RNAcentral is "eukaryotic LSU rRNA". The stretch from base 249 to 402 matches the Rfam family "5.8S ribosomal RNA". Lineage: Eukaryota; Fungi. The record is from RNAcentral.
AGUAAAAGUCGUAACAAGGUUUCCGUAGGUGAACCUGCGGAAGGAUCAUUACUUGCAGUAGUUUACUACUGUUGUAGGGGCUGUGGAAAUUCUUUGGGCUGUUUCGGCAGCUUUGAGAAAAGUACACUCCCUUAUAAACCCUUGUCUUUUUGCGCACUCAUGUUUCCUCGGUGGGCUUGCCUGCCGAUUGGACAACCUAUAACCUUUUUUAAAUCUUCAAUCAGCGUCUGAAUAAUUAUAAUAAUUACAACUUUCAACAACGGAUCUCUUGGUUCUGGCAUCGAUGAAGAACGCAGCGAAAUGCGAUAAGUAGUGUGAAUUGCAGAAUUCAGUGAAUCAUCGAAUCUUUGAACGCACAUUGCGCCCCUUGGUAUUCCAUGGGGCAUGCCUGUUCGAGCGUCAUUUGUACUCUCAAGCUCUGCUUGGUGUUGGGUGUUUGUCUUUACUUUCGUCAAGACUCGCCUUAAAUGAAUUGGCAGCCGAUAUAUUGGUUUGAAGCGCAGCACAAUUUGCGAUUCUGGCUGGUAAUUAUCAGUGUCCAUAAAGUAUUUAUAACACUUUUGACCUCGGAUCAGGUAGGGAUACCCGCU